ACCUGCCCAUUGGAAUCUAAAAGGCCGCGGUAUUAUGACCGUGCUAAGGUAGCAUAAUCAUUAGUCUUUUAAUUGGAGGCUGGUAUGAAUGGUUGGACAAGAAAUAAGCUGUCUUAAAUAAAAAUAUUGAAUUUAACUUUUAAGUGAAAAGGCUUAAAUUUUCUAAGGGGACGAUAAGACCCUAUAAAACUUUAUAUUUUAAAAUAAUAAUUAAUUUUAUAUAGAAGAUUUAUUUUUAAAUAUUUUAUUGGGGUGAUAAAGAUAAAAUGUGAGAUAACUGUCUUUUUUUUUUUUACAAUUAAUAUUUGAGUAAAAGAUCUUAACAAAGGAAAUAAGAGAUUAAGUUACUUUAGGGAUAACAGCGUAAUUUUCUUUAAGAGUUCUUAUCGACAAGAAAGUUUGCGACCUCGAUGUUGAAUUAAAAGUUCUUUAUAGAGUAGAUAUUAUAAUAGAGGGUCUGUUCGACCCUUAAAAUUUUACGUG
This 483-nucleotide ribosomal RNA is filed under the name Pontastacus leptodactylus (narrow-clawed crayfish). RNAcentral describes it as "Astacus leptodactylus (narrow-clawed crayfish) partial large subunit ribosomal RNA". It matches the Rfam family "Bacterial large subunit ribosomal RNA", at positions 1857 to 2602 of the family's 2925-position model. Lineage: Eukaryota; Metazoa; Arthropoda; Malacostraca; Decapoda; Astacidae. The record is from RNAcentral.